RNAcentral lists this ribosomal RNA (321 nucleotides) under Aspidoscelis guttatus (Mexican racerunner). Its description in RNAcentral is "partial 12S ribosomal RNA". It matches the Rfam family "Bacterial small subunit ribosomal RNA", at positions 863 to 1342 of the family's 1533-position model. The record is from RNAcentral. Lineage: Eukaryota; Metazoa; Chordata; Lepidosauria; Squamata; Teiidae.
AUUUGUCCGCCAGAAAAUUACGGGCGAAAGCCUAAAACUCAAAAGACUUGACGGUGUUCCACCCUACCUAGAGGAGCCUGUUUCAUAAUCGAUAAUCCCCGAUCAACCCGACCUCUCCUUGAAAUACUAACAGCCUAUAUACCGCCGUCCUUUUCGCUUACCUUCUGAAAGACAUAACAGUAAGCCUAAUAGUCUACUAACUAAUAAGUCAGGUCAAGGUGUAGCUUAUGGAGAGGAGAAAAUGGGCUACAUUUUCUAUAGUCUUAGACCAUACGAAAAGUAUUCUGAAACAAAAUACACAAAGGUGGAUUUAGCAGUAAG